RNAcentral lists this ribosomal RNA (253 nucleotides) under uncultured bacterium. Its description in RNAcentral is "partial 16S ribosomal RNA". It matches the Rfam family "Bacterial small subunit ribosomal RNA", at positions 524 to 776 of the family's 1533-position model. The record is from RNAcentral.
CACGUAGGGCGCAAGCGUUGUCCGGAAUUAUUGGGCGUAAAGAGCUCGUAGGCGGUCUGUUGCGUCCGCUGUGAAAUCCCGGGGCUCAACCUCGGAAUUGCCUUCGAUACUGUCAGUCUAGAGUCCGGGAGAGGUGAGUGGAAUUCCUAGUGUAGAGGUGAAAUUCGUAGAUAUUAGGAAGAACACCAGUGGCGAAGGCGGCUCACUGGCCCGGUACUGACGCUCAUGAGCGAAAGCGUGGGGAGCAAACAGG